UUCUGGUGGCCACCAGCACUCCUCGGCUUGUGGUGACAUCUCUCCAGUCUCUGCCUCUGUGGUUCCGUGGCUGCCUCCUCUUCUGUCAGUGCCAAAUCUCUCCCUGCCUCCAUCUUACAAGGACACCUGCUGCGCCAUUGCAUCAGAGUGCUUGCCGCUGACCUCCUCUCUCUUCUCUCGGUGGUCACCACCAUGAACAAGCAUCCCUGGUGUGUUUCCAGAACAGCGGGCGAUGCUGCCAGGGCCACAAACCCAGGGCCCCACAGACAGCAGAGGCCCGAGGGUGGCCAAUGAACGGGAACCGGUCCUUCUUCCGCACUCCCAAAGUGCGACGUACUCCAGCCAAGCCCAGGAAGGAUAAACUGCUUUGCACCCUGGACCCUAUUUCAUUCUCAUUCCAACCACUGGAAAUGGGUCUUAUUAUCAUUACUGUUGUUUCUAACAUCAGUCUCACUUUACAUAUAUGAAAAACUGAGGCCCAGAGAUAUUUUUUUUUUCUCAAAGUCUUACAGCCAAAAACUCAAGCCCAGGUUUUCUGACUCCAGAUCCCAUGUCUUCUCCGUGAUACCAAACUGCCUUGCCACCAGGGCACGAGACGCAGAAGGCUCCCUUAAGGUCACCAGAAUGUGUCACCACGGGGCAGACUCUAGUCCCCACUUUCUCCCAGACAGGGCCACCUUCUGGGGGUGCCCUCACAUAUUUUUGCAUAUGUGUACCCCCCCAAGA
Nomascus leucogenys (northern white-cheeked gibbon) is the source of this 726-nucleotide long non-coding RNA. RefSeq lists it as uncharacterized. NCBI's taxonomy places the organism in Eukaryota, Metazoa, Chordata, Mammalia, Primates, Hylobatidae. The transcript is spliced from 3 exons. The record is from RefSeq and is a predicted model, not a curated record.